CUGCUUGUUCGAACUCGUCACGGCAACGACACGCCCACCCGUGCACUUGCCGCAUCGACAACUCGCGUACUCGCGUGCGUUUGCGCGGAGUCCGGAGGCUGGUGUGUGCUCAGCGGAGGGUGCCCGAGAGCAGCCGCAACCCACACCCUGGGUGGCAGCGCUUCCCCUGUGCUGCAGCGGCUCGGGCGGGGAAUCAAGCACCUCCCACGUGACGCCACGGCCGAGGACUCGGGAAGCCCCGCCUGUUCCCUCACACUUUGUGCCGGGAGCCUUUUCCCAGCGCCGAUCCGCUGACCCGCGUCCUAUCUCUGAGGAAAAUCCCAGCUAAACCUUUGAUCCCGAGGACACCGGGCGAUACCCUGUUUCAUCCUCGUCUGCGCUCCGAUCUCGCCAUCGCACCGGGAUGACCCCGAGCAGCCUCCCAGACUUGUGCGCCCGCGCCC
This is a long non-coding RNA of Leopardus geoffroyi (Geoffroy's cat), 443 nucleotides long. RefSeq lists it as uncharacterized. The record is from RefSeq and is a predicted model, not a curated record. NCBI's taxonomy places the organism in Eukaryota, Metazoa, Chordata, Mammalia, Carnivora, Felidae. The transcript has 3 exons.